GAAAUUUUAGGUUAUAUAGACCAAGAGCCUUCAAAGCCCUAAGAAAGCAGACACACGCUUAAUUUUCU
This 68-nucleotide transfer RNA is filed under the name Lepilemur ruficaudatus (red-tailed sportive lemur). RNAcentral's name for it is "tRNA-Trp". The record is from RNAcentral. Lineage: Eukaryota; Metazoa; Chordata; Mammalia; Primates; Lepilemuridae.